Molecule: long non-coding RNA, 1114 nt
Organism: Meriones unguiculatus (Mongolian gerbil)
Lineage: Eukaryota; Metazoa; Chordata; Mammalia; Rodentia; Muridae
Exons: 3
Source: RefSeq, a predicted model, not a curated record
GAAACCCAAAUGCUGGGGGCCCAUCUUCUCCCAUUCAGGACGCUUGGGGUCUAGGAUCCCGGCUCUCCCUUAUUUAGGGAGAUAGGGGUCUGCACUCCCAGCGCACGUCCUGGGGGAACCUCGAGGUAGCACUGAGACCACAGAUACGAAGAAGCUGAAAGUUUCUUUUGUCUCAACUGGGCAUUGAACCUAGAACCUCAUGCAUGCCGCUCAAGUGCUCCUUCACUGAGUGCACUGCCCACAUACACUUGCCUGUGGAGAAAGAUCUCAUGCAUGUCCCAAGGACUGGAGUUAACAGCAAUGUACUGCAUCACGAACUUUGAUUUCUAUAUUUUAGGUAAUUGGACUGAAGAAUUCGAUACUAUGAUGGAGCAGAUGAGAGUGGCCAUUGUUACGGCAAAUUCUACCAGAGUGGACGCAGGACUAGCCACAGGAUUAUCAUCAUGGAUUGCUGCAGCCAUGAAUCAUCUGAAGGAAUGGGCGGGCAUGGGAGCAUUAGCAGACCUUCUGGUGUUGGUCUCCUUGGUUUGCCUGUGGUGUAUAUGCAAGAUUAGAGUCUCACAACAGCGUAAUGCAGCCAUGAUCAUUCAGGUCUUUACAGCCAUUGAAGCAGGACAUUCUCCCCAAGCAUGGUUGGCUACCAUAAAAAGCUAAAAUGUUACGCUCAGGAUGCAAGGCUAAGCACUGCACUCAGGGUCAGCCGCUUUGGACCCAGAGAAGAGCAUGUCUGAUUGCAUGUGGGUUGAUGCCCCAGGUCCCGCCUCUGAGAAAAAGAUAUCGGACGGGUCUGAUGCUCUUUGGGUGGAUGACACCUAAAUGAACAUUGGUACGAAGUCCCAAUUUAUUUCUAAUAUCAGAGAUCAGACCUCUGAUACCAGCUGGUUUCUGCCUUCCACCUUCCCGAUGGUGAGUGCUCUCUGUCACAAACAACUCCAUAUUUGGCUAAGGCUGAGGAUCUGGCUUGCUUCCGUGUAUGUGGACCUAUCUGCAUUGCCCAUGAGGCACGCUGGGGUUGGCUACCCAGAGGCUAUUUAAGCUGUGGCUGGCUUUCCCCAGGGUCAGAAGAUUGUUCAAGGUUCCUGAAUAAACUGCAUUGAGAAGAACAAAAAAAAAA